RNAcentral lists this non-coding RNA (26 nucleotides) under Homo sapiens (human). Lineage: Eukaryota; Metazoa; Chordata; Mammalia; Primates; Hominidae. The record is from RNAcentral.
UCCUCCGAAAACUGAGCAUUUGCCUC